This 478-nucleotide long non-coding RNA is filed under the name Cyanistes caeruleus (blue tit). RNAcentral's name for it is "lncRNA (ENSCCEG00000004550.1)". Lineage: Eukaryota; Metazoa; Chordata; Aves; Passeriformes; Paridae. The record is from RNAcentral.
CUCAAACAGCUCUGCUGAAAGAUAUUUUCCUCCUCAUUUUAUAUUAAAGCAUAGCCCUGAAAGUUGUGAUUGCAAAGAAUACUCUCCCAGCAUCCCUUCCCCCUGAUAUCAUGGUAUCAUUCCCCAAAUUCCCUAUGCAUAAAGGAAGUUUUCCAUCCCUUUGUAGGACCUGAAAAGAAGAAGGAUGAAGUUAAUGGGCUGGAAAGGAAGCGGGGUGGCAUGAAGACUGGAGUGCUUCCAUGCUGACUUAGUCAGGAGGAUCCUGGUUUCCCAAGGUGCCUUGCCUCUCCUCAACUGUGCAGUGGUGAAUCCUAGGAAAAGCCAGGACUGUGCCAUGUCAGAGAUAGCGCUGAUGGUCAUUUAACAUCAGACACAAACUUCUGAUGGACCAGCCCUGGUAGUCUAAACCUGACUGUGCAUAUGGACACAAAUAGAGUCAUACUCCUUCAAUAAAUUAGUCUUAUCUCCAAAGUAACCA